Molecule: ribosomal RNA, 872 nt
Filed under: uncultured Chloroflexota bacterium
Lineage: Bacteria; Bacillati; Chloroflexota
Description: bacterial SSU rRNA
Rfam family: Bacterial small subunit ribosomal RNA
Source: RNAcentral
GAGAGGACGUUCAAAACUGUUGGACUAGAGGGCGGAAGAGGGAGGUGGAAUUCCCGGUGUAGUGGUGAAAUGCGUAGAUAUCGGGAGGAACACCAGUGGCGAAGGCGGCCUCCUGGGCCGCACCUGACGCUCAGACGCGAAAGCUAGGGUAGCAAACGGGAUUAGAAACCCCGGUAGUCCUAGCCGUAAACGAUGUAGACUUGGUGUUGGUGGGGUAAAAGCCAUCAGUGCCGGAGCAAACGCGAUAAGUCUACCGCCUGGGGACUACGACCGCAAGGUUAAAACUCAAAGGAAUUGACGGGGACCCGCACAAGCAGCGGAGCGUGUGGUUUAAUUCGAUGCAACGCGAAGAACCUUACCCGGGCUUGACAUGCGAGUGGUAGGGAAGUGAAAGCGGACCGACCCUUCGGGGAGUUCGCACAGGUGCUGCAUGGCUGUCGUCAGCUCGUGCCGUGAGGUGUCCGGUUAAGUCCGGUAACGAGCGCAACCCUUGCUGUAUGUUACAAGUGUCAUACGGGACUGCCGGUAUAAAGCCGGAGGAAGGUGGGGAUGACGUCAAGUCAGCAUGGCCUUUAUGUCCGGGGCUACACACACGCUACAAUGGUCAGUACAAUAGGUUGCAAAACUGCGAAGUGGAGCCAAUCCAUAAAGCUGGCCACAGUUCAGAUUGCAGGCUGCAACUCGCCUGCAUGAAGUCGGAGUUGCUAGUAACCGCGCGUCAGCAACAGUGCGGUGAAUACGUUCCCGGGUCUUGUACACACCGCCCGUCACGUCAUGGAAGCUGGCAACACCUGAAGCCGGUAUCCUAACCGCAAGGAGGGAGCCGUCAAAGGUGGGGCUGGUGACUGGGACGAAGUCGUAACAAGGUAGCC